CGGAGUGUAGCGCAGCCUGGUAGCGCACUAUACUGGGGGUGUAGGGGCCGUGGGUUCAAAUCCCGCCACUCCGACCA
Molecule: transfer RNA, 77 nt
Filed under: SAR116 cluster alpha proteobacterium HIMB100
Lineage: Bacteria; Pseudomonadati; Pseudomonadota; Alphaproteobacteria; Puniceispirillales (SeqCode)
Description: tRNA-Pro
Rfam family: tRNA
About the family: Transfer RNA (tRNA) molecules are approximately 80 nucleotides in length. Their secondary structure includes four short double-helical elements and three loops (D, anti-codon, and T loops).
Source: RNAcentral